GAUGAACGCUGGCGGCGUGCCUAAUACAUGCAAGUCGAGCGAACAGACGAGGAGCUUGCUCCUCUGACGUUAGCGGCGGACGGGUGAGUAACACGUGGAUAACCUACCUAUAAGACUGGGAUAACUUCGGGAAACCGGAGCUAAUACCGGAUAAUAUAUUGAACCGCAGGGUUCAAUAGUGAAAGACGGUUUUGCUGUCACUUAUAGAUGGAUCCGCGCCGCUUUAGCUGGUUGGUAAGGUAACGGCUUACCAAGGCAACGAUGCGUAGCCGACCGGAGAGGCUGAUCGCCCACACUGGAACUGAGCCACGGUCCAGACUCCUACGGGAGGCAGCAGUAGGGAAUCUUCCGCAAUGGGCGAAAGCCUGACGGAGCAGCGCCGCGUGAGUGAUGAAGGUCUUCGGAUCGUAAAACUCUGUUAUUAGUGAAGAACAAAUUUGUAAGUAACUAUGCACGUCUUGACGGUACCUAAUCAGAAAGCCACGGCUAACUACGUG
RNAcentral lists this ribosomal RNA (497 nucleotides) under uncultured bacterium. RNAcentral describes it as "partial 16S ribosomal RNA". It matches the Rfam family "Bacterial small subunit ribosomal RNA", at positions 28 to 507 of the family's 1533-position model. The record is from RNAcentral.